CUUCGGGUCUAGCGGCGGACGGGUUAGUAACGCGUGGGAACGUACCCUUUUCUAAGGAAUAGCCACUGGAAACGGUGAGUAAUGCCUUAUACGCCCUUCGGGGGAAAGAUUUAUCGGAGAAGGAUCGGCCCGCGUUAGAUUAGAUAGUUGGUGGGGUAAUGGCCUACCAAGUCUACGAUCUAUAGCUGGUUUGAGAGGAUGAUCAGCAACACUGGGACUGAGACACGGCCCAGACUCCUACGGGAGGCAGCAGUGGGGAAUCUUAGACAAUGGGCGCAAGCCUGAUCUAGCCAUGCCGCGUGAGUGAUGAAGGCCUUAGGGUCGUAAAGCUCUUUCGCCUGUGAAGAUAAUGACUGUAGCAGGUAAAGAAACCCCGGCUAACUCCGUGCCAGCAGCCGCGGUAAUACGGAGGGGGUUAGCGUUGUUCGGAAUUACUGGGCGUAAAGCGCGCGUAGGCGGACAUUUAAGUCAGGGGUGAAAUCCCGGGGCUCAACCCCGGAACUGCCCUUGAUACUGGGUGUCUUGAGUUCGAGAGAGGUGAGUGGAAUUCCGAGUGUAGAGGUGAAAUUCGUAGAUAUUCGGAGGAACACCAGUGGCGAAGGCGGCUCACUGGCUCGAUACUGACGCUGA
RNAcentral lists this ribosomal RNA (630 nucleotides) under uncultured bacterium. RNAcentral describes it as "bacterial SSU rRNA". It matches the Rfam family "Bacterial small subunit ribosomal RNA", at positions 84 to 749 of the family's 1533-position model. The record is from RNAcentral.